GAUGAACGCUGGCGGCGCGCCUAACACAUGCAAGUCGAACGGCACCCACCCUCGGGUGGAAGCGAGUGGCGAACGGCUGAGUAACACGUGGAGAACCUGCCCCCUCCCCCGGGAUAGCCGCCCGAAAGGACGGGUAAUACCGGAUACCCCGGGGUGCCGCAUGGCACCCCGGCUAAAGCCCCGACGGGAGGGGAUGGCUCCGCGGCCCAUCAGGUAGACGGCGGGGUGACGGCCCACCGUGCCGACAACGGGUAGCCGGGUUGAGAGACCGACCGGCCAGAUUGGGACUGAGACACGGCCCAGACUCCUACGGGAGGCAGCAGUGGGGAAUCUUGCGCAAUGGGGGGAACCCUGACGCAGCGACGCCGCGUGCGGGACGGAGGCCUUCGGGUCGUAAACCGCUUUCAGCAGGGAAGAGUCAAGACUGUACCUGCAGAAGAAGCCCCGG
RNAcentral lists this ribosomal RNA (448 nucleotides) under uncultured bacterium. RNAcentral describes it as "bacterial SSU rRNA". It matches the Rfam family "Bacterial small subunit ribosomal RNA", at positions 28 to 496 of the family's 1533-position model. The record is from RNAcentral.